RNAcentral lists this ribosomal RNA (407 nucleotides) under Daboia mauritanica (Moorish viper). RNAcentral's name for it is "partial 16S ribosomal RNA". It matches the Rfam family "Bacterial large subunit ribosomal RNA", at positions 1968 to 2594 of the family's 2925-position model. The record is from RNAcentral. Lineage: Eukaryota; Metazoa; Chordata; Lepidosauria; Squamata; Viperidae.
UUUGUCUAUUAAUUGUAGACUCGCAUGAAAGGCAAAAUGAGAGCCCGACUGUCUCUUAUAACAAAUCAAUUAAACUGAUCUUCCAGUACAAAAGCUGGAAUACUAUCAUAAGACCAGAAGACCCUGUGAAGCUUUAACUAAACUAUUAAACCUAAUAAUAACUACGUUUUGGUUGGGGCGACCUUGGAAUAAAAAAGAACUUCCAAAUUAUGAUUCCUCAUAUAAAAGGCACACAAGCCACAUUAGACCCAGUACAUCUGAUAAAUGAACCAAGUUACUCCAGGGAUAACAGCGCUAUCUUCUUCAAGAGCCCAUAUCAAAAAGAAGGUUUACGACCUCGAUGUUGGAUCAGGACAUCCUAGUAAUGCAACCGUUACUAAGGGUUCGUUUGUUCAACGAUUAAUAGU